UGGUGGCGAUAGCUAGAAGGAUACACCUGUUCCCAUGCCGAACACAGAAGUUAAGCUUCUAAACGCCGAUAGUAGUUGAGG
This 81-nucleotide ribosomal RNA is filed under the name Apilactobacillus kunkeei. The record is from RNAcentral. Lineage: Bacteria; Bacillati; Bacillota; Bacilli; Lactobacillales; Lactobacillaceae.